Molecule: long non-coding RNA, 421 nt
Filed under: Rhinopithecus roxellana (golden snub-nosed monkey)
Lineage: Eukaryota; Metazoa; Chordata; Mammalia; Primates; Cercopithecidae
Description: lncRNA (ENSRROG00000045938.1)
Source: RNAcentral
AUACAGGAUUUCACCAUAUUGGCCAAGCUGGUCUCGAACUCCUGACCUUGUGAUCUGCCAGCUUCCGCCUCCCAAAGUGCUGGGAUUACAGGUGUGAGCCACCGCACCGGUUUACCAAGGCGGAGAAGUUCAUCUUCAAGAAAACUAAGAGAUCUCUUCCCCUGACAAAAAACAACUCCACGUUUGUUGGGACUCAGACCUGGGCUCUUCUGUCAGCUCUAGGUAGGGAGGUAUUGGAGAGCAAGUUUAGGAGUCACCCUACCAAGUGGGUAUGAUGAUGAAGGUGAGCUGCUAAGAAAGAGGUUGAGAGACAGCUGAUGUUUGUUUCAAGCCAAUCUUCUUCAACCCCAGGCACCAGGAGCAGAGGGCCAGUGGGUAAAGAUUAAGUAGGAUGGAAUCUGUAAUAAAGCCAAAUGUGUGG